UGAACAUCCGAGCAUCAGCAGUGCCGAUUCAAAACUAACAGAUUAUCCCCUUUUCUUGGAAUUCCAAGAUGACUCUACUAGAGCUUCCUACGCCAUUUACUUGUUACACAAGGACACAGAGCAGCUUCUGAACUACAUUGGAGCCGAGAGUUCUGGAAGGAAUGUAUUUGGUAAUCUGCGGAGCUUAUUAGGAUUAUACAAUCAGAUGAGUAUUUGUACAUAUGGCCAUCGAAUCCAUGACAAAUGCGGGUUUGGAUCACUUAUGCUGUAGAUAUGGUAGUAUAUACAGGUUCAAGUAAGGUGUUCUUUUGUGUGAUUCUUGCCUACUUUCGUUGUGCCAAGUUUUUGUAUGCACAGCAAGAGGGGCAUUACAUAUAGGGUUUUACAGGAGCAUAAGCCUCUCAAUGUUUUUGACUGAGGUUUCUGGGUACUACCUCUGAGGCUAUUGUACAAAAAAUAUUACUGUAUGAGUUAAUGUCAAAAUUGCAUUGUUUUUCCCC
Lolium rigidum is the source of this 500-nucleotide long non-coding RNA. RefSeq lists it as uncharacterized. The record is from RefSeq and is a predicted model, not a curated record. The transcript has 2 exons. NCBI's taxonomy places the organism in Eukaryota, Viridiplantae, Streptophyta, Magnoliopsida, Poales, Poaceae.